GACUGAACCUACUAUAUCAGAAGGUUUGGAACCCUCGAUUCAUCCGACUCAAUGAGAAAAAGAGAACAACAUGGGUUUGGCUCGCUGUGCCUCCCUCUUGGGCUGUGAAAGCGGUGCGAAAAAAGUUGGGCUACCUUGCCUUGAGAGCUUCCUGAGUCUGUGAUUUCAUUGUAAGUAUUUGCUUCCAUCUCGAAAUGCUCUUUCAUGAUUGUAUGUACACAAGUUCUCGCGC
Molecule: unclassified non-coding RNA, 232 nt
Filed under: Hevea brasiliensis (rubber tree)
Lineage: Eukaryota; Viridiplantae; Streptophyta; Magnoliopsida; Malpighiales; Euphorbiaceae
Source: RNAcentral